This 497-nucleotide ribosomal RNA is filed under the name uncultured bacterium. RNAcentral's name for it is "partial 16S ribosomal RNA". It matches the Rfam family "Bacterial small subunit ribosomal RNA", at positions 28 to 507 of the family's 1533-position model. The record is from RNAcentral.
GACGAACGCUGGCGGCGUGCCUAAUACAUGCAAGUAGAACGCUGAAGAGAGGAGCUUGCUCUUCUUGGAUGAGCUGCGAACGGGUGAGUAACGCGUAGGUAACCUGCCUUGUAGCGGGGGAUAACUAUUGGAAACGAUAGCUAAUACCGCAUAACAAUGGAUGACACAUGUCAUUUAUUUGAAAGGGGCAAUUGCUCCACUACAAGAUGGACCUGCGUUGUAUUAGCUAGUAGGUGAGGUAACGGCUCACCUAGGCGACGAUACAUAGCCGACCUGAGAGGGUGAUCGGCCACACUGGGACUGAGACACGGCCCAGACUCCUACGGGAGGCAGCAGUAGGGAAUCUUCGGCAAUGGGGGCAACCCUGACCGAGCAACGCCGCGUGAGUGAAGAAGGGUUUCGGAUCGUAAAGCUCGGUUGUAAGUCAAGAACGAGUGUGAGAGUGGAAAGUUCACACUGUGACGGUAGCUUACCAGAAAGGGACGGCUAACUACGUG